RNAcentral lists this ribosomal RNA (468 nucleotides) under uncultured bacterium. RNAcentral's name for it is "partial 16S ribosomal RNA". It matches the Rfam family "Bacterial small subunit ribosomal RNA", at positions 28 to 507 of the family's 1533-position model. The record is from RNAcentral.
GACGAACGCUGGCGGCGUGCUUAACACAUGCAAGUCGAACGGAAAGGCCCUGCUUUUGUGGGGUGCUCGAGUGGCGAACGGGUGAGUAACACGUGAGUAACCUGCCCUUGACUUUGGGAUAACUUCAGGAAACUGGGGCUAAUACCGGAUAGGAGCUCCUGCUGCAUGGUGGGGGUUGGAAAGUUUGGGCGGUUGGGGAUGGACGCGCGGCUUAUCAGCUUGUUGGUGGGGUAGUGGCUUACCAAGGCGUUGAUGGGUGGCCGGCCUGAGAGGGGGACCGGCCACAUUGGGACUGAGAUACGGCCCAGACUCCUACGGGAGGCAGCAGUGGGGAAUAGUGCACAAUGGGCGGAAGCCUGAUGCAGCAACGCCGCGUGCGGGAUGACGGCCUUCGGGUUGUAAACCGCUUACGCCUGUGACGAAGCGUGAGUGACGGUAAUGGGUAAAGAAGCACCGGCUAACUACGUG